GCUCUUCUUUGCCUCUGCUGGAGUCCGGGGAGUGGCGUUGGCUGCUAGAGCGAUGCCGGGCCGGAGUUGCGUCGCCUUAGUCCUCCUGGCUGCCGCCGUCAGCUGUGCCGUCGCGCAGCACGCGCCGCCGGUGAGACUGCAGAAAAUCAACCUAUCCUCCUUCAGGACCAACGUACAGAGGUGCAGUUCCAUGGUACACCAUAAAUCUUGACUUACCACCCUACAAAAGAUGGCAUGAAUUGAUGCUUGACAAGGCACCACUAAAGGUUAUAGUGAAUUCUCUGAAGAAUAUGAUAAAUACAUUCGUGCCAAGUGGAAAAAUUAUGCAGCCUGGCCUACUUGGCAACUUUCCUGGCCCUUUUGAAGAGGAAAUGAAGGGUAUUGCCGCUGUUACUGAUAUACCUUUAGGUAAAGUUCACUUAGAAGCUUUAAAAAAAAAAGUAAUUAAAUUCUUUUACAAGUUUCCAUUGAGGUGUGAUAUACAUACAGCACAGGUGCUGUAUGUCUUAGAUAUACAGCACAGGUGCACAGGUCUUAGAUAUACAGCUCAGUGAAGCUUCAGAAAUGCAUGCAUGCAUGUAGCCAUGACUCAGAUCAAGAUACGGAAGAGCCCAGCACUCCACGAUGCUCCAUCAUGCCCCUUUGCAGAAAAUACUGCCUCCUCCAGUAAACACUAUUCUGAUGUCACUAUAGAUUAGUUUUGCCUCUUCGUGAACUUUGUAUAAAUAGAACUGA
Molecule: long non-coding RNA, 735 nt
Filed under: Homo sapiens (human)
Lineage: Eukaryota; Metazoa; Chordata; Mammalia; Primates; Hominidae
Description: HSALNT0133622
Source: RNAcentral